This 490-nucleotide ribosomal RNA is filed under the name uncultured bacterium. RNAcentral's name for it is "partial 16S ribosomal RNA". It matches the Rfam family "Bacterial small subunit ribosomal RNA", at positions 30 to 507 of the family's 1533-position model. The record is from RNAcentral.
AUUGAACGCUGGCGGCAGGCCUAACACAUGCAAGUCGAACGGUAACAGGAAGCAGCUUGCUGCUUUGCUGACGAGUGGCGGACGGGUGAGUAAUGUCUGGGAAACUGCCUGAUGGAGGGGGAUCACUACUGGAAACGGUAGCUAAUACCGCAUAACGUCGCACGACCACAGCGGGGGACCUUCGGGCCUCUUGCCCUCGGAUGUGCCCAGAUGGGAUUAGCUAGUAGGUGGGGUAACGGCUCCCCUAGGCGACGAUCCCUCGCUGGUCUGAGAGGAUGACCAGCCACACUGGAACUGAGACACGGUCCAGACUCCUACGGGAGGCAGCAGUGGGGAAUAUUGCACAAUGGGGGCAAGCCUGAUGCAGCCAUGCCGGGUGUAUGAAGAAGGCCGUCGGGUUGUAAAGUACUUUCAGCGGGGGGGAAGGGAGUAAAGUUAAUACCUUUGCUCAUUGACGUUACCCGCAGAAGAAGCACCGGCUAACUCCGUG